This 662-nucleotide ribosomal RNA is filed under the name Acinetobacter sp. JA69-2. RNAcentral describes it as "bacterial SSU rRNA". It matches the Rfam family "Bacterial small subunit ribosomal RNA", at positions 127 to 782 of the family's 1533-position model. Lineage: Bacteria; Pseudomonadati; Pseudomonadota; Gammaproteobacteria; Moraxellales; Moraxellaceae. The record is from RNAcentral.
UGCCUAUUAGUGGGGGACAACAUUCCGAAAGGAAUGCUAAUACCGCAUACGCCCUACGGGGGAAAGCAGGGGAUCUUCGGACCUUGCGCUAAUAGAUGAGCCUAAGUCAGAUUAGCUAGUUGGUGGGGUAAAGGCCUACCAAGGCGACGAUCUGUAGCGGGUCUGAGAGGAUGAUCCGCCACACUGGGACUGAGACACGGCCCAGACUCCUACGGGAGGGCAGCAGUGGGGAAUAUUGGACAAUGGGCGAAAGCCUGAUCCAGCCAUGCCGCGUGUGUGAAGAAGGCCUUUUGGUUGUAAAGCACUUUAAGCGAGGAGGAGGCUACCGAGAUUAAUACUCUUGGAUAGUGGACGUUACUCGCAGAAUAAGCACCGGCUAACUCUGUGCCAGCAGCCGCGGUAAUACAGAGGGUGCGAGCGUUAAUCGGAUUUACUGGGCGUAAAGCGUGCGUAGGCGGCUUUUUAAGUCGGAUGUGAAAUCCCUGAGCUUAACUUAGGAAUUGCAUUCGAUACUGGGAAGCUAGAGUAUGGGAGAGGAUGGUAGAAUUCCAGGUGUAGCGGUGAAAUGCGUAGAGAUCUGGAGGAAUACCGAUGGCGAAGGCAGCCAUCUGGCCUAAUACUGACGCUGAGGUACGAAAGCAUGGGGAGCAAACAGGAUUAGA